GACUUUAUUGGGCACCUACAAGAUGGCCAAGUGCUGUCCCAUGGAUGGGAACUAUGCAACAAAGAAAGCAGUCUACCCUCCCUGCCCUCAAAGAGCUUAUGUUACAGGACGAGAGAUGGAAAAGACACAAGACCCAACUAAGCCAAGAAAUUGGCCUUCUUAUCCCUUCAAGGCUGAAUAAAGGCACUGUGAAAAUACACUCAAAGUCAAAUGCAAGAACUUCACACAAUAGAAAACUCCAUCUGUCUGUCUUCAAAACUAAGUUAAACAUAUAUUUAUUUCAAAUAUUGGAUGCUGUAGAAUUUUGACAUUCUGUGUGUGCACAUUAAAAUUCUAUGUGUAGAUA
Ictidomys tridecemlineatus (thirteen-lined ground squirrel) is the source of this 346-nucleotide non-coding RNA. NCBI's taxonomy places the organism in Eukaryota, Metazoa, Chordata, Mammalia, Rodentia, Sciuridae. The record is from RefSeq and is a predicted model, not a curated record.